Serinus canaria (Common canary) is the source of this 1534-nucleotide long non-coding RNA. RefSeq lists it as uncharacterized. The record is from RefSeq and is a predicted model, not a curated record. The transcript is spliced from 2 exons. NCBI's taxonomy places the organism in Eukaryota, Metazoa, Chordata, Aves, Passeriformes, Fringillidae.
ACAGCAGGGCCAUGUGUGGGAACCCAGCACAUCACUCCGGGUGUCCAGAGUCACUGAGAGAACCCUUGGGGGGCUCGGAGGUCCUGGAGUGCUGCCAGAAGCACCUGGUGGCUCGACUGUGACCCCUCUGGGGAUGUGCCACCUGUGUGUGAGAACAUGGGAGUCCCUGGGGUUUGAAUGGUGCAGGAAUGAUUUAUUUACAGGGUGAAACAGAGAUUUUAGGGGUUUGGUACAGGGGGGUCAUGGAGACAAGUUGGAGGGAUCAGGGCCUGCCUCGUGGUUCUUCUUGUCAUCCAUCUCCUGUGUGAUGCUGGCACUUGUGGAUUGGUCCGGGGGGAAGGAGCACUUGCUAACAAGGGUGAGAGGCAUUGGGAACAAAAGGUAAAUAUGUUCUACGUAGUUUUUACUACAGAGACACGGUCGCCCCGUGGGCGGUCAGAGCGCCUUGGGCUGCCCGGCUGCUCAGAGCCCGGCUGGGCAGAGACAAAACUCUACAGAUAAGAAAUAAUAAACAAUCCAAGACUGAAAAAUUAGAGAGCCCAGAUUCGUCCUCUGAAGCGCGGGCUGCAAAGAACCAUCCUCCGUGUGUUGGGGCAGAGACAGACAGACAGCCGAGCCCACACUGGUGGUCCAGGGCGGGCAGUGCCCAGGCAGGCAGAGCCCAGGCGGGCAGUGCCCAGGCAGGCAGAGCCCAGGCGGGCAGUGCCCAGGCGGGCAGUGCCCAGGCAGGCAGCUCCCGGAGCUGGACUGGUUCCCAGGAGAGCACUGAUAACUCCUUGGGAAGGCAGCCAGAGGGAUCUGAAGCAGCAGCAGCCACUGGGAACAUUGCACUCCACUUCUGCCGAGGAGGCUCCACCAGAACAGCCGGACUGGAAUCAGAAAGGUGCUCUGACCCCAUCUCCUGUGACCUGCUGGGCAGAGACCAGGAGCCUUCGGACUGCUCUGACCACAGAAAUUCGGGCGAGGUCUGAAGUGGGUGUCAGCACGGCACGUGAAGCCAUUCCAGACACAAGAACAGGAGAGCACUGAUCCCAGAAACAGAGACGAGCUCUCAAACUGCAAACAACGACUCGGAAGAAACAAAAGAAUAAGGACUUUGGGGGCUUUCCUUUGGGGUUUUGAGUGAAAAGAUGGCAAUGCUUUUUCACAAAGGUGAAGUCAUGAGCUUCACAAUGCUUACGUGUUUCACUUCAUUGUCUGUUGCUCUAAACAACAAGGCAAAUUUACCUGUUGAUCCACCAAAGAAAAAUGUUUGGGAAGCUUUAGCCCAGGCAGCGAGCUUAGGCAGUGACUGCCUGAUGCACUCCAGACCAGGGAGACCAUUCUCGGGGGAGGGCCAGUGGCCGAUUCCAGGACACCCUGCAGCUGAAAUCUCGCAGGUCAUUAAAGAUCCUAUAAAGGAGUGGUGUGCUUGGAGGCAUCUCCUUCCUGAGGCUUCUCCUGAACCUCAGGAAUUGGAGAUUUUCGGAUCCAUGGCAAUGGAGCUGUGCAUGCAGUUUGAAAUUCCAGAUGUGACAAAAACAAACAAAACCAC